AAGCAAUGAAGCAGGCCAUUCAAUCUGAUCAAUCUACUCCCUGGGGAGGUUGGAAAUCAAAUGAUGUGUACAACAAUUCAGGAUAUUGUUUGAAUUACUUGUCCUAAUAGGUGCACAAGUUGGGAUGGAUUGGACUUCUAUCUUGAGAAAACGCCAUGAUUUCAGGGCUGCUUUCGUCAGGUUUGAUGCAGAAAUCGUUGCCAACUUCACAGAAAGACAAAUAGCAUCAAUGGCCACAGAUUGCAACUUGGAUUUAAACAAGGUUCGAGGUACCGUCAACAAUACUAACAAAAUCCUCCAGGUCAGAUUGUUGAUUGGACCUGAUUUUAUUUAAAUGAUCUUGAUAAUCCAUUUUAUUUAAAUGAGCAGACCCGGAUGUGCGUCGGAGCUAUCCGGAUGUUGAACGGGGGUCCCUGGAAGGUGGGAACCGCUGUUAUGACCAUGAUGAAGCUGUCCAUUUCCUAUGGACAACAUUGGAGGGGCCUGGCCAUUUGGACAUGCCGUGUUUAUGUAUUUGAUCGAAAUUAAUGGAGCAGACCCGGAUGUGCGUCGGAGCUAUUCGGAA
Magnolia sinica is the source of this 565-nucleotide long non-coding RNA. RefSeq lists it as uncharacterized. The record is from RefSeq and is a predicted model, not a curated record. NCBI's taxonomy places the organism in Eukaryota, Viridiplantae, Streptophyta, Magnoliopsida, Magnoliales, Magnoliaceae. The transcript has 3 exons.